UUGUCCCAGUGACCCGACCCAACUAUUUAUACCCAACCCAUUCAAAACCAAAAGACCCAGACACAGUAUCCGGCCGACCCGCCCCACAUCUUUUUCUUCCUCAUAGUGAACCCAUCUAUCGCAUAACUGUUGUCGUCUUCCUCCAAUUUGUACGAGAUUUGUAGCAAACCAAGUUGUCCUCGUCCUUGAAGAACCGGGUGUCUCGAUCUUACUCCUUCUUCGUCCUUUUCUCAAAAUUGGACGGCCCUCACUCCUCUUCUGUUGGAAUUGGUACGACUGAUGGCUGUCCAACCUUAUCCUAAGAGUGGGAAUCCAAAUUUCAAAUUCAAAACCCAUUCCCUUUUCCCUCCUCAUGUUUAGAUCAUAUCUCCUUCUAUAUAAACCUUCUUUUACCUUCAUUUGGGUUUGGUCUGUUUUUUUUUUCUUUUUUUUAAAAGAACAGUGGAAAAAGUUGAGAAAAAGAUUUUUUACUAUGGGAAAGAAUAGCUUAGCUGAGAGAUAGAAGAUAAGAAUCGAAGUCAAUGUACGGAACUAUUUUGGGAGUAGGUUCUGCGAUUGUGAAGGUUCGAGGUGAUAUUCCUUCGGUUCUUUUUCUCAAAACCUCGAGAGAGUUCUCGGAACUUACAUUGUGGUGGUGGAAGUUCUGCUCGAGCUCGUAGUCUUAGUUCGCUGCCCGUAGAAAGGUCUAAUUUCUUUUGCGUGUUAUCUUGUCUCAAAUCUUCACUCAGUUCUCUUCUUACUCGAGUCACUCGUUCAAGCUGGAAUGGACUGAUGCAGGUAGGAUAGUUUUCAAUUUGCUUAGCGUCGAUAAUAUUUGUUUCGAAUCGACUCUAUUUUGAUCGAAUUUCAACCUGUGAUCUAGUAUAGUCCCUUUAUUUCGUGGAAGUUUUGAAAUUAAUUGACUGUUUACUUUGGUAUAGGAGUGAGAUUGUUCCUUCCUUUAUGUAUGUUUUUUAGCUAUUGCGUUAAAUUUUCUUUGCGGUUAUGCUAGUUCUCGUUUCCAGCAUGUUUUGAAGUGAUGUUGUGAAUCUAUUCUUAAGUCGUAUUCAUGGGUUCAGUUUAGAGAAUUCUCAUUAAUGUGUAUCGAAUGACGUUUUGAAUCAAGUAUCUCAAUCUAAUACUUUUACUUCACUGUUUCAAUAAUUGGUUUACUUUUGGCAAACUCACUUCAUUGUAUUACUUGUUUUUUUAAAAAAAUUUUAAGCUUCUAUAAUGAUCCAUUUCCUCUAAUUGUUUACUGUUAUAGAUUUUAGACUUAUUUUGCACGUGUAUGGGUUGUUGCCUUUAUUUUAAGUUGAUUGUUGUCCAUGAAGUAAAUGAUUAACAACCUUUUCAAUCUAAGAUGUUUUAAUCUUAUUUUUGCUUCAGGAAAGAAAUUUAAAUUUAUUAGUCGUGUGGUUACAUUAUCUUUCGUGUCUGUUGAGUAGCGUGAUAAGGUCGUGUUUGCUGGAACAUCUUAGAUUCAUUAUUUUUUUGGAAAUUUGUUCAAGGUGGAGUAGUCAAUUUAUAAUCACUUUUGUUAAUCCUACAAUAAGAUGCUAACUCUUGUUUAUGCAUUUUUUAAUGUGAAAUAUACCGAGUUCAUCGAGAACUCCUUCCUUCCUGCAUUUUGAGAAAACCAUAAAAUUCGAUGGGCAGAUUGUUGAAGUUGAACUAGCAUGCAGAUUAAAGAAAGCCGAAGAAGUUGGAUUAGAAGAUGCAAUUUAGUAUUAUUUUGUAUUUUGUUAUUUUCGGGCUUAAGCCAUUGUCGUUUAUUUUUUGUAUUUAUUUUGUAUUAAUUAUUUGCUUAGUUUAGGACAGGUACGGAAGAAAUGGGUCAAAAAUCCAAAAAGUCAAAUGGGUCAAAAACCCAAAACAGGUGGGUCCAAAAUUCUGGUCAAGGCGAACGGAUUUGGACUCAAAUUUCUCUCCUU
Molecule: long non-coding RNA, 1913 nt
Organism: Solanum pennellii
Lineage: Eukaryota; Viridiplantae; Streptophyta; Magnoliopsida; Solanales; Solanaceae
Exons: 2
Source: RefSeq, a predicted model, not a curated record